UGUCAGAAGUGGGAUUUGAACCCAUGCCUUCUCACGAAGGCUAAAACUUGAGUUUGGCACCCUUAAACCACUCAACCAUCCUAUC
RNAcentral lists this transfer RNA (85 nucleotides) under Cajanus cajan (pigeon pea). RNAcentral's name for it is "tRNA gene-KK1_028643". Lineage: Eukaryota; Viridiplantae; Streptophyta; Magnoliopsida; Fabales; Fabaceae. The record is from RNAcentral.